Molecule: non-coding RNA, 119 nt
Filed under: Legionella jamestowniensis
Lineage: Bacteria; Pseudomonadati; Pseudomonadota; Gammaproteobacteria; Legionellales; Legionellaceae
Description: TPP sequence
Rfam family: TPP riboswitch aptamer (THI element)
About the family: Vitamin B(1) in its active form thiamin pyrophosphate (TPP) is an essential coenzyme that is synthesised by coupling of pyrimidine and thiazole moieties in bacteria. The previously detected thiamin-regulatory element, thi box was extended, resulting in a new, highly conserved RNA secondary structure, the THI element, which is widely distributed in eubacteria and also occurs in some archaea.
Source: RNAcentral
UUAAGAAAUUAGGGGUGCCCUUUUAAGACGAACUUCAUAUUUGUCUCGAAAGGGCUGAGAAAAUACCCAUUGAACCUGUUCGGGUAAUGCCGUCGUAGGGAUAAUUUAUGUUUUUAGAU